AGCGAACGAUGGCGGCAGGACGAACACAUGAAAGUCGAACGAACUCUUUGGAGCUAGUGGCGGACGGGUGAGUAACACGUGGGUACGUGCCUUUAGGGUCGGAAUAACUCAGGGAAACUUGUGCUAAUACCGAAUGUGACCUUCGGGCGAAAGAUUUAUUGCCCUUAGAGCGGCCCGCGUCUGAUUAGCUAGUUGGUGAGGUAAAGGCUCACCAAGGCGACGAGCAGUAGCUGGUCUGAGAGGAUGAUCAGCCACAUUGGGACUGAGACACGGCCAAAACUCCUACGGGAGGCAGCGGUGGGGAAUCUUGCGCAAUGGGCGAAAGCCGGACGGAGCCAGGCCGCGUGAAUGGUGUGGGUCUUGGGAUUGUAAAAUUCUUUCUGCAGGGACGAUAAUGACGGUACCCGGAGAAGAGGCGCCGGCUAACUUCGUGCCAGCAGCCGCCGUAA
This 449-nucleotide ribosomal RNA is filed under the name uncultured bacterium. RNAcentral's name for it is "partial 16S ribosomal RNA". It matches the Rfam family "Bacterial small subunit ribosomal RNA", at positions 29 to 523 of the family's 1533-position model. The record is from RNAcentral.